This 85-nucleotide transfer RNA is filed under the name Agrobacterium salinitolerans. Its description in RNAcentral is "tRNA-Leu". It matches the Rfam family "tRNA". Rfam says of the family: Transfer RNA (tRNA) molecules are approximately 80 nucleotides in length. Their secondary structure includes four short double-helical elements and three loops (D, anti-codon, and T loops). RNAcentral also lists the same sequence under 4 other names. Lineage: Bacteria; Pseudomonadati; Pseudomonadota; Alphaproteobacteria; Hyphomicrobiales; Rhizobiaceae. The record is from RNAcentral.
GCGGGUGUGGUGGAAUUGGUAGACGCGCCGGACUCAAAAUCCGGUUCCGCAAGGAGUGUCGGUUCGAUCCCGACCACCCGCACCA